AGAGAUGUGUGAUGACGCAUAUCAAUAAGCGGAGGAAAAGAAACUAACAAGGAUUCCCCUAGUAACGGCGAGUGAAGCGGGAAGAGCUCAAAUUUGAAAUCUUAAAGGGUUUCCCUUUACGAAUUGUAGUUUAAAGAAGUGUUUUCUGUUGGAGUUUCGGUAAAAGUUCUUUGGAAUAGGACAUCAUAGAGGGUGAGAAUCCCGUAUUUGACCGUUACUUUCCAGCUGUGUGAUACACUUUCAAAGAGUCGGAUUGUUUGGGAAUGCAGUCCAAGAUGGGUGGUAAAUUUCAUCUAAAGCUAAAUAUUGGCGAGAGACCGAUAGCGAACAAGUACCGUGAGGGAAAGAUGAAAAGAACUUUGAAAAGAGAGUUAAACAGUACGUGAAAUUGUCAAAAGGGAAGCGUUUGACACCAGUGUUGUUUAGUUGAAAAUCAAUUCAAUAGUUUUUGAUUCUAAGUAGUAUUGACUUCAUCAGCUUGCUGCUUUCUUCUCAGAAAUUAUUGAAUGCACUUUUCAGUUAACAAGUCAACAUCAAUUUCUUUUGUUGUAAAAGGGUAAGAGGAAGGUGGCUUGCGCUUCGGCUCAAGUGUUUAUAGCCUUUUAUCUCUGCAAUCGGAGAGAUUGAGGUCUGCAGCGUAGAUCCUUCGGGGUUAGAUACAUUUGGUGCUAAGUUAUAGCUUGUCAUAGACAACUUGUUGACUAUGUUAGUCAUUGUAGCUUACUCGCUGACGCUAUUUUACCUACGCUUAGGAUGUUGACAGCAGUAUAGACUGU
RNAcentral lists this ribosomal RNA (776 nucleotides) under uncultured Neocallimastigales. RNAcentral describes it as "partial large subunit ribosomal RNA". It matches the Rfam family "Eukaryotic large subunit ribosomal RNA", at positions 23 to 638 of the family's 3401-position model. The record is from RNAcentral. Lineage: Eukaryota; Fungi; Neocallimastigomycota; Neocallimastigomycetes; Neocallimastigales.